This 566-nucleotide long non-coding RNA is filed under the name Calidris pygmaea (Spoon-billed sandpiper). Its description in RNAcentral is "lncRNA (ENSCPGG00000002245.1)". Lineage: Eukaryota; Metazoa; Chordata; Aves; Charadriiformes; Scolopacidae. The record is from RNAcentral.
AUGCACCGAGCUGCGGGGAGUGUCCUGGGUUUCCAGCACUCCCAGUUUAAGCAAAACAGUAAUUACCAGUCCUGUGGGCUCCAUGAAGCGGCAGGAGUAGCUGUCAGCCGGGCGCAACGCUGUCAUGCCUUGUCCAGGGCUGGGGGAAAGGGACGUGGAACUCCUCCUCUGCCUCUCCGUCUCCGCUCGGAUGCCCAGAUUGAUUUCUUCGGAAUAAAUGAAGAAAGUAACUAUGAAAGCACAGCAUCUGCCUUCUGUUUUCAUCAACGAGGAGAAGUUCAUAACCAGGUAAAUUAUUAAAAAAUAUAUAUAUUUUAAUCACUUUUUUCCAAGUUAGUCCAUGUUUAUUCAUUACCAGGGGAUCUUGUGGAGAGCUGUGCCUGUAGCAGAAGCAGUUCCUACAACUUGCUUUCUGCCAAAUGUGCCCAGAACAAAGUUGCCCUUUGCAUGGAUUUCAAAGAGCAGAGCAUUAAACCCUUUGGUCUGCGGAUUAGUUCAUUAGGUAGAGCAGCACUUUUAGAGGAUACUGAAAUAAAACUCCAAAUUAGGGAAGAAGAGCUUCCUGU